GACGAACGCUGGCGGCGUGCCUAAUACAUGCAAGUAGAACGCUGAAGGAGGAGCUUGCUCUUCUGGAUGAGUUGCGAACGGGUGAGUAACGCGUAGGUAACCUGCCUGGUAGCGGGGGAUAACUAUUGGAAACGAUAGCUAAUACCGCAUAACAGUAGAUGUUGCAUGACAUUUACUUAAAAGGUGCAAUUGCAUCACUACCAGAUGGACCUGCGUUGUAUUAGCUAGUUGGUGGGGUAACGGCUCACCAAGGCGACGAUACAUAGCCGACCUGAGAGGGUGAUCGGCCACACUGGGACUGAGACACGGCCCAGACUCCUACGGGAGGCAGCAGUAGGGAAUCUUCGGCAAUGGACGGAAGGCUGACCGAGCAACGCCGAGUGAGUGAAGAAGGGUGUCGGAUCGUAAAGCUCUGUUGUAAGAGAAGAACGAGUGUGAGAGUGGAAAGUUCACACUGUGACGGUAUCUUACCAGAAAGGGACGGCUAACUACGUG
Molecule: ribosomal RNA, 495 nt
Filed under: uncultured bacterium
Lineage: Bacteria
Description: partial 16S ribosomal RNA
Rfam family: Bacterial small subunit ribosomal RNA
Source: RNAcentral